AAUAAUACAACUUUAUUUUUUCGGUUUUAAUUGUGCGGGUAUUUUUGAUUAAAUAUUGAGUUUUAUUGAGUGAAAUCCUAAUACUUGAGGCUUAGUCAUUAAGUUUCGUUGAGGUUGUGAAACUUUGAUUAUAAACUAGGAUUAGAUACCCUAUUAUUCAAAGUGUAAAAGUUUUACUGGAAUAUUAUUAGUUAUGGUCUUUAAAAUUAAAAAUUUUGGCGGUAUUUUAGUCCAUUCAGAGGAACCUGUUCUGUAAUCGAUAGUCCACGAUUAACCUUACUUUUGUUUAAAAUUUGUAUAUCGUCGUAGUUUGAAUUUUUUAGGAGGACUAUGAAUGUUCAAGAUAAGAGAAUGCUUAGGAAAUCAGAUCAAGAUGCAGUUUAUAUAAAAGAAGAAAUGGGUUACAUUAAAAUUAUUUGAGGAUUUGAUCAUGAAAAGUUAGAUUAAUUUGGAUUUGAGGGUAAAUUUGAAUAUAUAUUUAGAUUGAUUUGGCUCUAAAGUAUGUACAUAUCGCCCGUCGCUUUCACUUCAAGGUGGAAUAAGUCGUAACAAAGUAGGCCUACUGGAAAGUGGGCCUAGAUCGACAAAUUGGAGCUUGAUAUAAAGCAUUUUAUUUACAUUAAAGAGUUAGCUGUGAAAUUCAGCUUGAUUUGAGUGGAAAAUUUUAUUUUGUAACUUUUGUCUAGUGAUUGUUAAUAUAAGUAAAUUUUUGUAUUAUUAUUAGAAUAAAAAUAUAUCUUUUGUGAUAGUGAAUUAGUAUUGAAAAAGAAAAAUUUAAUAUACUUAGAAGAAUAAGAAGUUUU
Molecule: ribosomal RNA, 803 nt
Filed under: Philus pallescens
Lineage: Eukaryota; Metazoa; Arthropoda; Insecta; Coleoptera; Vesperidae
Description: partial 12S ribosomal RNA
Source: RNAcentral